UGCCACUCUGAGUGGUGUACUGAUGUGGU
Molecule: non-coding RNA, 29 nt
Filed under: Rattus norvegicus (Norway rat)
Lineage: Eukaryota; Metazoa; Chordata; Mammalia; Rodentia; Muridae
Source: RNAcentral